RNAcentral lists this ribosomal RNA (406 nucleotides) under uncultured bacterium. RNAcentral's name for it is "partial 16S ribosomal RNA". It matches the Rfam family "Bacterial small subunit ribosomal RNA", at positions 30 to 526 of the family's 1533-position model. The record is from RNAcentral.
AUUGAACGCUGGCGGCAGGCCUAACACAUGCAAGUCGAACGAGUGGCGGACGGGUGAGUAAUGUCUGGGAAACUGCCUGAUGGAGGGGGAUAACUACUGGAAACGGUAGCUAAUACCGCAUACCAUCAGAUGUGCCCAGAUGGGAUUAGCUUGUUGGUGGGGUAACGGCUCACCUAGUCGACGAUCCCUAGCUGGUCUGAGAGGAUGACCAGCGACACUGGAACGGAGACACGGUCCAGACUCCUACGGGAGGAAGCAGUGGGGAAGAUUGCACAAUGGGCGCAAGCCUGAUGCAGCCAUGCCGCGUGUAGGAAGAAGGCCUGCGGGUUGUAAAGUACUUUCAGCGGGGAGGCGUUACCAGAAGAAUAAGCACCGGCUAACUCCGUGCCAGCCGCCGCGGUAAUAC